RNAcentral lists this ribosomal RNA (256 nucleotides) under uncultured bacterium. Its description in RNAcentral is "partial 16S ribosomal RNA". It matches the Rfam family "Bacterial small subunit ribosomal RNA", at positions 57 to 305 of the family's 1533-position model. The record is from RNAcentral.
GCAAGUCGAACGGUAACAGGACGCUCUGAUUCCUUCGGGAUGAAGUUGUCGCUGACGAGUGGCGGACGGGUGAGUAACACGUAGGAACCUAUCUUUUAGUUUGGGACAACCAAGGGAAACUUUGGCUAAUACCGGAUGUGGUCUUUUAAAGACUAAAGCCUUCGGGCGCUAAGAGGUGGGCCUGCGUCAGAUUAGCUUGUUGGUGGGGUAAAGGCCUACCAAGGCGACGAUCUGUAGCUGGUCUGAGAGGACGAUC